Lonchura striata (white-rumped munia) is the source of this 1222-nucleotide long non-coding RNA. The record is from Ensembl. NCBI's taxonomy places the organism in Eukaryota, Metazoa, Chordata, Aves, Passeriformes, Estrildidae.
CCCCCCAAACUCCCAAAAUCCCCAAACUCCCAAACUCCCAAAAUCCCAAAAUCCCCAAAUCCCCAAAAUCCCCAAACCCCCAAAAUCCCAAAAUCCCCAAAAUCCCCAAAAACCCCAAAACCCCAAACUCCCAAAAUCCCCAAAAUCCCAAAAUCCCCAAAUCCCCAAAACCCCAAAAUCCCCAAAAUCCCCAAAAACCCCAAAAUCCCCAAACUCCCAAAAUCCCCAAAUCCCCAAAAACCCCAAACUCCCAAAAUCCCCAAAAUCCCCCAAAAUCUCCCAAAAUCCCAAAAUCCCCAAAACCCCCAAAAACCCCAAAACCCCAAACUCCCAAAAUCCCCAAAAUCCCAAAAUCCCCAAAUCCCCAAAACCCCCAAAAUCCCCAAAAUCCCCAAAAACCCCAAAUCCCCAAAUCCCCCAAAACCCCAAAACCCCAAAAACCCCAAAUCCCCAAAACCCCCAAUCCCCAAAACCCCCAAAUCCCCAAAAUCCCCAAAACCCCCAAAACCCCAAACUCCCAAAAUCCCCAAAAUCCCAAAAUCCCCAAAUCCCCAAAACCCCAAAUCUCCAAACCCCAAAUCCCCAAAUCCCAAAAUCCCCAAAUCCCCAAAAUCUCCCAAACCCCCAACCCCCCAAAACCCCAAAAUCCCCAAAAUCCCCAAAUCCCCAAAACCCCAAAAUCCCCAAAAUCCCAAAAUCCCAAAAACCGCAAAACCCCAAAAUCCCCCAAAAACCCCAAAAUCCCCAAAAUCCCCAAAACCCCAAAACCCCCAAAUCCCCCAAAAACCCCAAAAUCCCCCAAAAACCCCAAAAUCCUGGGAAUUUGGGACAGAGAUGUGCGCGGAGCCCCCCUGGGCCGCGGGCCCUACGCCCCCUCCCCUUACGAGCGCCCAGCCUGGAACCCGCGCUUCUGCAUCAUCUCCGGCAACCAGCUGCUGAUGCUCGACGAGGAGGAGGUGAGCACCGGGAGGAUGGCUGGGGGGGUCCCCCAAAAAUCNCCCCAAAAUCCCCAAAAUCCCCAAAUCCCCAAAACCCCAAAAUCCCCAAAAUCCCAAAAUCCCAAAAACCGCAAAACCCCAAAAUCCCCCAAAAACCCCAAAAUCCCCAAAAACCCCAAAACCCCAAAAUCCGCAAAAUCCCAAAAUCCCCAAAAUCCCCAAAAACCCCAAAACCCCAAAAUCCCCAAAUCCCCAAAAACCCCAAAAUCCCAAAAUCCCCAAAA